This 377-nucleotide ribosomal RNA is filed under the name uncultured bacterium. RNAcentral describes it as "bacterial SSU rRNA". It matches the Rfam family "Bacterial small subunit ribosomal RNA", at positions 108 to 481 of the family's 1533-position model. The record is from RNAcentral.
GAGUAAUACAUCGGAACGUACCCUGUCGUGGGGGAUAACUAACCGAAAGGUUAGCUAAUACCGCAUACGACCUGAGGGUGAAAGCGGGGGAUCGCAAGACCUCGCGCGAUAGGAGCGGCCGAUGUCAGAUUAGCUAGUUGGUGAGGUAAAGGCUCACCAAGGCGACGAUCUGUAGCGGGUCUGAGAGGACGGCCCGCCACACUGGAACUGAGACACGGUCCAGACUCCUACGGGAGGCAGCAGUGGGGAAUUUUGGACAAUGGGCGCAAGCCUGAUCCAGCCAUUCCGCGUGAGUGAAGAAGGCCUUCGGGUUGUAAAGCUCUUUCGGCAGGAACGAAACGCUCUGGGCUAAUACCCCGGGGUAAUGACGGUACCUG